This 253-nucleotide ribosomal RNA is filed under the name uncultured bacterium. Its description in RNAcentral is "partial 16S ribosomal RNA". It matches the Rfam family "Bacterial small subunit ribosomal RNA", at positions 524 to 776 of the family's 1533-position model. The record is from RNAcentral.
UACGUAGGGUCCGAGCGUUGUCCGGAGUGACUGGGCGUAAAGCGCGCGCAGGCGGCCCGCGAGGUGUCCUGUGAAAGCCCCGUGCUCAACGCGGGAGGGUCAGGGCAAACCGGCGGGCUUGAGGCCGGUAGAGGUGGGUGGAACUCCUGGUGGAGUGGUGAAAUGCGUAGAGAUCAGGAAGAACACCCGUGGCGAAGGCGGCCCACUGGGCCGGACCUGACGCUGAGGCGCGAAGGCGUGGGGAGCAAACGGG